Molecule: ribosomal RNA, 460 nt
Filed under: uncultured bacterium
Lineage: Bacteria
Description: partial 16S ribosomal RNA
Rfam family: Bacterial small subunit ribosomal RNA
Source: RNAcentral
CCUACGGGUGGCAGCAGUGAGGAAUAUUGGUCAAUGGGCGCGAGCCUGAACCAGCCAAGUAGCGUGAAGGAUGACUGCCCUAUGGGUUGUAAACUUCUUUUAUAAAGGAAUAAAGUGAGGCACGUGUGCCUUUUUGUAUGUACUUUAUGAAUAAGGAUCGGCUAACUCCGUGCCAGCAGCCGCGGUAAUACGGAGGAUCCGAGCGUUAUCCGGAUUUAUUGGGUUUAAAGGGUGCGUAGACGGGUUGUUAAGUCAGUUGUGAAAGUUUGCGGCUCAACCGGAGAAUUGCAAUUGAUACUGGCAGUCUUGAGUACAGUUGAGGUAGGCGGAAUGCGUGGUGUAGCGGUGAAAUGCUUAGAUAUCACGAAGAACUCCGAUUGCGAAGGCAGCUUACUAAACUGCCACUGACAUUGAUGCUCGAAAGUGUGGGUAGCAAACAGGAUUAGAUACCCCUGUAGUC